This 252-nucleotide ribosomal RNA is filed under the name uncultured bacterium. RNAcentral describes it as "partial 16S ribosomal RNA". It matches the Rfam family "Bacterial small subunit ribosomal RNA", at positions 525 to 776 of the family's 1533-position model. The record is from RNAcentral.
ACGUACUGCGCGAACGUUAUUCGGAAUCACUGGGCUUACAGGGUGCGUAGGCGGCUUUUCAGGUCUGAUGUGAAAUCCCCCGGCUCAACCGGGGAAUGGCAUUGGAAACCGAAAGGCUUGAGGUAGCUAGAGGCAUGCGGAACUUCCGGUGGAGCGGUGAAAUGUGUUGAGAUCGGAAGGAACACCAGAGGCGAAAGCGGCAUGCUGGGGCUAUUCUGACGCUGAGGCACGAAAGCCAGGGGAGCGAACGGG